Molecule: unclassified non-coding RNA, 1134 nt
Filed under: Melitaea cinxia (Glanville fritillary)
Lineage: Eukaryota; Metazoa; Arthropoda; Insecta; Lepidoptera; Nymphalidae
Description: misc RNA ENSMCXG00005006107.1
Source: RNAcentral
AUUUUAUUUUACACAGUUUAAGGCUAUCAAUAUAUUUAAUUCAAAAUGAUUAUUUAUUUUUUCUUGAUUGUGUUAACAUUUGAAACAUUAUAAACCUUACGCUCUUCUUAUCGACUUCCUGUAAAGUUAUUAGAAGUAGAGUUGACUCAGUAUACUUAGGACUUUAGGAGCCAUCGAUGUGAUGGUGAUGUGGAACUUCCAUUUUCCGUGAACGCAUUCAUAAUAUGACAGUUAUGGGUAGCUUCUCUCACGUUCUUAGAAACGUCAAUGUCAAUUUCGGCAAAUGUACAUUAUAUUAAUAAAGUUUAACCGAAAUAGAAAAUAAUAAGACUAAUCAAAAUAUCCUUGUAUUUAUGUUAAUUUUACCACAAUUCCAUAACUAUUGUUAUUUAAUUUAAACUUAAUUAGUUAUAUUACAACACUUAAGAUGUUGAUCAAAGUAAAGACACUAACUGGAAAAGAGAUCGAAAUAGAUAUAGAACCUACUGAUAAAGUGGAGCGUAUUAAGGAAAGAGUUGAAGAGAAGGAAGGCAUUCCACCACAACAACAGCGACUCAUAUUUUCUGGAAAGCAGAUGAAUGAUGAGAAAACAGCGCAGGAUUAUAAAGUGCAGGGUGGGUCUGUGCUUCAUUUGGUGUUGGCUCUGAGAGGGGGUGAAUGAUCUCUAGUGAUUAAUUUCUCCAUUUUAUAAUACUUUUUAUUUAAUUUUUCUUUUCCUGUAUAAAGUAAAACACAUAAUGUAAAAUAGUUAGUUUAAUUACAACCCACACAAUUGCCUCACAUAUUAAUAAGAUUUUUCUAUUUUUUUUUUUAUUUACCUACAUUAUUAUUAAGUAAUUAUAAAAUAUAAUCCACAAUGAAUUAUAACCAAUAAGACAAUAAAAUAUAAGUUUAUAGUAUUUUUUGUUGUGAUAUACUUAUAAGGUUAGCAUGCAUACUUACAUUUUCAAUCACCCUAUUAGAAAAAGAAAAUAUUUUCAAGUGAUGUCAAUAAAAUAAGUACAGCUAAUUAAACACAGCAUACCUUUGAUCUUCUAAAUAGUAGCAACAAAAAAUUAUUAUCAAAUAUGUCAAUCAUUUAAGAUUUUUUGUUAACUAUUCAAACCAAGAGUUUGAGUAUUUCCUCAUUGUUGA